CUACGGGUGGCUGCAGUGGGGAAUAUUGCACAAUGGGCGCAAGCCUGAUGCAGCCAUGCCGCGUGUAUGAAGAAGGCCUUCGGGUUGUAAAGUACUUUCAGCGGGGAGGAAGGGAGUAAAGUUAAUACCUUUGCUCAUUGACGUUACCCGCAGAAGAAGCACCGGCUAACUCCGUGCCAGCAGCCGCGGUAAUACGGAGGUGUGCAAGCGUUAAUCGGAAUUACUGGGCGUAAAGCGCACGCAGGCGGUUUGUUAAGUCAGUGUGAAAUCCCCGGGCUCAACCUGGGAACUGCAUCUGAUACUGGCAAGCUGGAGUCUCGUAGAGGGGGGUAGAAUUCCAGGUGUAGCGGUGAAAUGCGUAGAGAUCUGGAGGAAUACCGGUGGCGAAGGCGGCCCCCUGGACGAAGACUGACGCUCAGGUGCGAAAGCGUGGGGAGCAAACAGGAUUAGAUACCCCCGUAGUC
This 464-nucleotide ribosomal RNA is filed under the name uncultured bacterium. RNAcentral's name for it is "partial 16S ribosomal RNA". It matches the Rfam family "Bacterial small subunit ribosomal RNA", at positions 339 to 795 of the family's 1533-position model. The record is from RNAcentral.